This 1297-nucleotide ribosomal RNA is filed under the name uncultured bacterium. RNAcentral describes it as "bacterial SSU rRNA". It matches the Rfam family "Bacterial small subunit ribosomal RNA", at positions 93 to 1399 of the family's 1533-position model. The record is from RNAcentral.
UAGUGGCAGACGGGUGAGUAACACGUGGGUAACCUACCUUCAAGCUGGGGAUAACAGUUGGAAACGACUGAUAAUACCGAAUAAGAUAUAGCAAUAUAUUGAAAGGAGCCUUUAAAGCUCCACUUAAAGAUGGGCCUGCGGCGUAUUAACUAGUUGGUGAGGUAAUGGCUCACCAAGGUGACGAUGCGUAGCCGAACUGAGAGGUUGAUCGGCCACACUGGGACUGAGACACGGCCCAGACUCCUACGGGAGACAGCAGUUAGGAAUAUUCGUCAAUGGGGGAAACCCUGAACGAGCAAUGCCGCGUGAGUGAUGAAGGCCCUAUGGGUUGUAAAACUCUGUUGUAUGGGAAGAACGGCUAUAUUAGGAAAUGAAUAUAGAGUGACGGUACCAUACCAGAAAGCUCCGGCUAACUACGUGCCAGCAGCCGCGGUAAUACGUAGGGAGCGAGCGUUAUCCGGAUUUAUUGGGCGUAAAGCGUGCGUAGGCGGUUUAUUAAGUUUAAGAUAAAAGCCCGGGGCUCAACUCCGGUUCGUCUUAAAAACUGGUAGACUUGAGUGUGGUAGAGGUAAAUGGAAUUUCUAGUGUAGCGGUGAAAUGCGUAGAUAUUAGAAGGAACACCAGUGGCGAAGGCGAUUUACUGGGCCAUAACUGACGCUGAGGCACGAAAGCGUGGGGAGCAAAUAGGAUUAGAUACCCUAGUAGUCCACGCCGUAAACGAUGAGUACUAAGUGUUGGAGAUUCCAGUGCUGAAGCUAACGUAUUAAGUACUCCGCCUGAGUAGUACGGUCGCAAGGCUGAAACUCAAAGGAAUUGACGGGCACCCGCACAAGCGGUGGAGCAUGCUGUUUAAUUCGAAGAUACGCGAAGAACCCUACCUAGACUUGACAUCCCCGGCAAAGACAUGGAAACAUGUUGGAGGUUACCCGGGAGACAGGUGGUGCAUGGUUGUCGUCAGCUCGUGUCGUAAGAUGUUCGGUUAAGUCCGCUAACGAGCGCAACCCUUAUCCUUAGUUGCUAACAGUAAGAUGAGAACCCUAAGGAGACUGCCGGUGAUAAGCCGGAGGAAGGUGGGGAUGACGUCAAAUCAUCAUGCCCCUUACGUCUAGGGCUACAGGCGUGCUAUAAUGGCCAAUAUAAAGAGAAGCAAUACCGUGAGGUGGAGCAAAACUCCAAAGUUGGUCUCAGUUCGGAUUGAAGUCUGCAACUCGACUUCAUGAAGUUAGAAUCGCUAGUAAUCCUGAAUCAGAAUGUCAGGGUGAAUACGAUCCGCGGGUGUUGCACUCACCGCCCGUCA